RNAcentral lists this ribosomal RNA (388 nucleotides) under uncultured bacterium. RNAcentral describes it as "bacterial SSU rRNA". It matches the Rfam family "Bacterial small subunit ribosomal RNA", at positions 30 to 416 of the family's 1533-position model. The record is from RNAcentral.
AUUGAACGCUGGCGGCAUGCUUUACACAUGCAAGUCGAACGGCAGCACGGGUGCUUGCACCUGGUGGCGAGUGGCGGACGGGUGAGUAAUACAUCGGAACGUGUCCUGAAGUGGGGGAUAACGCAUCGAAAGAUGUGCUAAUACCGCAUAUACUCUGAGGAGGAAAGUAGGGGAUCGAAAGACCUUAUGCUUUUGGAGCGGCCGAUGUCUGAUUAGCUAGUUGGUAAGGUAAUGGCUUACCAAGGCAACGAUCAGUAGUUGGUCUGAGAGGACGGCCAGCCACACUGGGACUGAGACACGGCCCAGACUCCUACGGGAGGCAGCAGUGGGGAAUUUUGGACAAUGGGCGCAAGCCUGAUCCAGCAAUGCCGCGUGAGUGAAGAAGGCC